Molecule: ribosomal RNA, 490 nt
Filed under: Scolecobasidium bacilliforme
Lineage: Eukaryota; Fungi; Ascomycota; Dothideomycetes; Venturiales; Sympoventuriaceae
Description: eukaryotic LSU rRNA
Rfam family: Eukaryotic large subunit ribosomal RNA
Source: RNAcentral
CGGCGAGUGAAGCGGCAACAGCUCAAAUUUGAAAUCUGGAGCCUUUGUGGCUUCCGAGUUGUAAUUUGCAGAGGGAGUCUCGGAGGGCGAGUCGGUCCAAGUGCCUUGGAACAGGAUACCGCAGAGGGUGAGAGUCCCGUAUCUGGCCGAUUUCGCGCUCCGUGUGAGGCCCCUUCGACGAGUCGAGUUGUUUGGGAAUGCAGCUCCAAGCGGGUGGUAAAUUCCAUCUAAAGCUAAAUACCGGCCAGAGACCGAUAGCGAACAAGUAGAGUGAUCGAAAGAUGAAAAGCACUUUGAAAAGAGAGUCAAACAGUACGUGAAAUUGUUGAAAGGGAAGCGCAUGGGGGCAGACUUGGACGCGGGGUUCAGGACGUCCUGUGACGUCUGUACUUCCCCGCGGACAGGCCAGCAUCGGUUUCGGGGGCCGGACAAAGGCGCUGGGAACGUGGCUCUCUUCGGAGAGUGUUAUAGCCCAGCGCGCAAUGCGGCC